RNAcentral lists this small RNA (312 nucleotides) under Histoplasma capsulatum. Its description in RNAcentral is "hypothetical RNA". RNAcentral also lists the same sequence under 1 other name. The record is from RNAcentral. Lineage: Eukaryota; Fungi; Ascomycota; Eurotiomycetes; Onygenales; Ajellomycetaceae.
GCAAAAGGGGUAAAGACAGCCAACAUUCUUUCGUUCGAGCCAAGCCGAGUUGAAUCAAAAGCAGCUCCUCGCCGCCAUGAAAUGCAAACGAGAUCCUGAUCCAAGGGGCCCCAAAUAAUCGGCACAGAAUGCAGGAAGCUCAUAUGCAGGUACCGACGACUAGUUAGCCAGGUACGGAUGCCAGCAUGCAGGAAUCCUGUUUCACAUACGCAGUCAGUACGCAUGAGACAGGAGGGUGACGGACAGGGUCAAUGCGAGGGACGUGUCUGAAGAAGAAGAACAUGGUUUCGCGACCCUGGAGAGUGGUGUGAG